CGGCGUGCUUAACACAUGCAAGUCGAACGGAAAGGCCCUGCUUGCAGGGUACUCGAGUGGCGAACGGGUGAGUAACACGUGGGUGAUCUGCCCUGCACUUCGGGAUAAGCUUGGGAAACUGGGUCUAAUACCGGAUAGGAACCAUCUUUAGUGUGGUGGUUGGAAAGUUUUUUCGGUGUAGGAUGAGCUCGCGGCCUAUCAGCUUGUUGGUGGGGUAAUGGCCUACCAAGGCGGCGACGGGUAGCCGGCCUGAGAGGGUGUACGGCCACAUUGGGACUGAGAUACGGCCCAGACUCCUACGGGAGGCAGCAGUGGGGAAUAUUGCACAAUGGGCGCAAGCCUGAUGCAGCGACGCCGCGUGGGGGAUGAAGGCCUUCGGGUUGUAAACUCCUUUCGCUAGGGACGAAGCUUUUUGGUGACGGUACCUAGAUAAGAAGCACCGGCUAACUACGUGCCAGCAGCCGCGGUAAUACGUAGGGUGCGAGCGUUGUCCGGAAUUACUGGGCGUAAAGGGCUCGUAGGUGGUUUGUCGCGUCGUCUGUGAAAUUCUGGGGCUUAACUCCGGGCGUGCAGGCGAUACGGGCAUAACUUGAGUGCUGUAGGGGUAACUGGAAUUCCUGGUGUAGCGGUGAAAUGCGCAGAUAUCAGGAGGAACACCGAUGGCGAAGGCAGGUUACUGGGCAGUUACUGACGCUGAGGAGCGAAAGCAUGGGUAGCGAACAGG
RNAcentral lists this ribosomal RNA (724 nucleotides) under uncultured Actinomycetales bacterium. RNAcentral describes it as "bacterial SSU rRNA". It matches the Rfam family "Bacterial small subunit ribosomal RNA", at positions 40 to 776 of the family's 1533-position model. The record is from RNAcentral. Lineage: Bacteria; Bacillati; Actinomycetota; Actinomycetes; Actinomycetales.